RNAcentral lists this non-coding RNA (29 nucleotides) under Cricetulus griseus (Chinese hamster). The record is from RNAcentral. Lineage: Eukaryota; Metazoa; Chordata; Mammalia; Rodentia; Cricetidae.
CCUGCAUGAUGACAAGCAAAUGCUGACUA